CGACUCUGAUAGAGUCAACCUAGCCAACUGACGUUGUUUGUGGAAUAUUUUCACUUAAACAAUGAUGCCAACCGAACAAUUUACGGUUGGCUUUUUUUUU
RNAcentral lists this small RNA (100 nucleotides) under Photobacterium halotolerans. RNAcentral's name for it is "Qrr RNA". It matches the Rfam family "Qrr RNA". From Rfam's summary of the family: This family represents a set of small RNAs (the Qrr RNAs) that are thought to be involved in the regulation of quorum sensing in Vibrio species. It is believed that these RNAs, guided by a protein, Hfq, can mediate the destabilisation of the quorum-sensing master regulators LuxR/HapR mRNAs. The record is from Rfam by way of RNAcentral. Lineage: Bacteria; Pseudomonadati; Pseudomonadota; Gammaproteobacteria; Vibrionales; Vibrionaceae.